GCAUGGGUAGCUCAGUUGGUAGAGCAAUUGCCUUCGAAAGGCAAAGGUCCCGAGUUCGAGUCUCGGUCGGGCA
RNAcentral lists this transfer RNA (73 nucleotides) under Schistocerca americana (American grasshopper). RNAcentral's name for it is "tRNA-Ser". It matches the Rfam family "tRNA". Rfam says of the family: Transfer RNA (tRNA) molecules are approximately 80 nucleotides in length. The record is from RNAcentral. Lineage: Eukaryota; Metazoa; Arthropoda; Insecta; Orthoptera; Acrididae.